AGUGAACGCUGGCGGUAGGCCUAACACAUGCAAGUCGAACGGCAGCACAGUAAGAGCUUGCUCUUACGGGUGGCGAGUGGCGGACGGGUGAGGAAUACAUCGGAAUCUACUUUUUCGUGGGGGAUAACGUAGGGAAACUUACGCUAAUACCGCAUACGACCUACGGGUGAAAGCAGGGGAUCUUCGGACCUUGCGCGAUUGAAUGAGCCGAUGUCGGAUUAGCUAGUUGGCGGGGUAAAGGCCCACCAAGGCGACGAUCCGUAGCUGGUCUGAGAGGAUGAUCGGCCACACUGAACCUGAGACACGGUCCAGACUCCUACGGGAGGCAGCGGUGGGGAAUAUUGGACAAUGGGCGCAAGCCUGAUCCAGCCAUACCGCGUGGGUGAAGAAGGCCUUCGGGUUGUAAAGCCCUUUUGUUGGGAAAGAAAAGCAGCAGGUUAAUACCCCGCUGUUCUGACGGUACCCAAAGAAUAAGCACCGGCGACCUUCGU
RNAcentral lists this ribosomal RNA (491 nucleotides) under uncultured bacterium. RNAcentral describes it as "partial 16S ribosomal RNA". It matches the Rfam family "Bacterial small subunit ribosomal RNA", at positions 29 to 506 of the family's 1533-position model. The record is from RNAcentral.